This 1425-nucleotide ribosomal RNA is filed under the name Pediococcus acidilactici. RNAcentral describes it as "bacterial SSU rRNA". It matches the Rfam family "Bacterial small subunit ribosomal RNA". The record is from RNAcentral. Lineage: Bacteria; Bacillati; Bacillota; Bacilli; Lactobacillales; Lactobacillaceae.
GCAGUCGAACGAACUUCCGUUAAUUGAUUAUGACGUGCUUGCACUGAAUGAGAUUUUAACACGAAGUGAGUGGCGGACGGGUGAGUAACACGUGGGUAACCUGCCCAGAAGCAGGGGAUAACACCUGGAAACAGAUGCUAAUACCGUAUAACAGAGAAAACCGCCUGGUUUUCUUUUAAAAGAUGGCUCUGCUAUCACUUCUGGAUGGACCCGCGGCGCAUUAGCUAGUUGGUGAGGUAACGGCUCACCAAGGCGAUGAUGCGUAGCCGACCUGAGAGGGUAAUCGGCCACAUUGGGACUGAGACACGGCCCAGACUCCUACGGGAGGCAGCAGUAGGGAAUCUUCCACAAUGGACGCAAGUCUGAUGGAGCAACGCCGCGUGAGUGAAGAAGGGUUUCGGCUCGUAAAGCUCUGUUGUUAAAGAAGAACGUGGGUGAGAGUAACUGUUCACCCAGUGACGGUAUUUAACCAGAAAGCCACGGCUAACUACGUGCCAGCAGCCGCGGUAAUACGUAGGUGGCAAGCGUUAUCCGGAUUUAUUGGGCGUAAAGCGAGCGCAGGCGGUCUUUUAAGUCUAAUGUGAAAGCCUUCGGCUCAACCGAAGAAGUGCAUUGGAAACUGGGAGACUUGAGUGCAGAAGAGGACAGUGGAACUCCAUGUGUAGCGGUGAAAUGCGUAGAUAUAUGGAAGAACACCAGUGGCGAAGGCGGCUGUCUGGUCUGUAACUGACGCUGAGGCUCGAAAGCAUGGGUAGCGAACAGGAUUAGAUACCCUGGUAGUCCAUGCCGUAAACGAUGAUUACUAAGUGUUGGAGGGUUUCCGCCCUUCAGUGCUGCAGCUAACGCAUUAAGUAAUCCGCCUGGGGAGUACGACCGCAAGGUUGAAACUCAAAAGAAUUGACGGGGGCCCGCACAAGCGGUGGAGCAUGUGGUUUAAUUCGAAGCUACGCGAAGAACCUUACCAGGUCUUGACAUCUUCUGCCAACCUAAGAGAUUAGGCGUUCCCUUCGGGGACAGAAUGACAGGUGGUGCAUGGUUGUCGUCAGCUCGUGUCGUGAGAUGUUGGGUUAAGUCCCGCAACGAGCGCAACCCUUAUUACUAGUUGCCAGCAUUCAGUUGGGCACUCUAGUGAGACUGCCGGUGACAAACCGGAGGAAGGUGGGGACGACGUCAAAUCAUCAUGCCCCUUAUGACCUGGGCUACACACGUGCUACAAUGGAUGGUACAACGAGUCGCAAAACCGCGAGGUUUAGCUAAUCUCUUAAAACCAUUCUCAGUUCGGACUGUAGGCUGCAACUCGCCUACACGAAGUCGGAAUCGCUAGUAAUCGCGGAUCAGCAUGCCGCGGUGAAUACGUUCCCGGGCCUUGUACACACCGCCCGUCACACCAUGAGAGUUUGUAACACCCAAAGCCGGUGGGGUAAC